This 683-nucleotide ribosomal RNA is filed under the name Staphylococcus pasteuri. RNAcentral's name for it is "bacterial SSU rRNA". It matches the Rfam family "Bacterial small subunit ribosomal RNA", at positions 55 to 720 of the family's 1533-position model. Lineage: Bacteria; Bacillati; Bacillota; Bacilli; Caryophanales; Staphylococcaceae. The record is from RNAcentral.
AUGCAGUCGAGCGAACAGAUAAGGAGCUUGCUCCUUUGACGUUAGCGGCGGACGGGUGAGUAACACGUGGAUAACCUACCUAUAAGACUGGGAUAACUUCGGGAAACCGGAGCUAAUACCGGAUAACAUAUUGAACCGCAUGGUUCAAUAGUGAAAGGCGGCUUUGCUGUCACUUAUAGAUGGAUCCGCGCCGUAUUAGCUAGUUGGUAAGGUGACGGCUUACCAAGGCAACGAUACGUAGCCGACCUGAGAGGGUGAUCGGCCACACUGGAACUGAGACACGGUCCAGACUCCUACGGGAGGCAGCAGUAGGGAAUCUUCCGCAAUGGGCGAAAGCCUGACGGAGCAACGCCGCGUGAGUGAUGAAGGUCUUCGGAUCGUAAAACUCUGUUAUCAGGGAAGAACAAAUGUGUAAGUAACUGUGCACAUCUUGACGGUACCUGAUCAGAAAGCCACGGCUAACUACGUGCCAGCAGCCGCGGUAAUACGUAGGUGGCAAGCGUUAUCCGGAAUUAUUGGGCGUAAAGCGCGCGUAGGCGGCUUUUUAAGUCUGAUGUGAAAGCCAACGGCUCAACCGCGGAGGGUCAUUGGAAACUGGAAAACUUGAGUGCAGAAGAAGAGAGUGGAAUUCCAUGUGUAACGUGGUAAAUGCGCAGAGAUAUGGAGGAACACCACGGGGGAAA